This 66-nucleotide non-coding RNA is filed under the name Schistosoma japonicum. The record is from RNAcentral. Lineage: Eukaryota; Metazoa; Platyhelminthes; Trematoda; Strigeidida; Schistosomatidae.
UCUGAGGGCGAAGUCGUACUGCUGACUGCAUCGAGGUGUGGCAGCAGUAAGGUGUUUCCCUCGGAU